This 1623-nucleotide unclassified non-coding RNA is filed under the name Neodiprion lecontei (redheaded pine sawfly). RNAcentral's name for it is "retinal homeobox protein Rx1-like, transcript variant X3". Lineage: Eukaryota; Metazoa; Arthropoda; Insecta; Hymenoptera; Diprionidae. The record is from RNAcentral.
GGCACGAUCGCCGAGAGAAACCCGCCCACGAACGAAAACCAACGCAGAGGUUUUAAAAUCAACUCGAACAUCGCCGCGUGCCACGAGUUCAAGAAACGAAGACCGAACCAACCAAGAGUGGUAGAAUCGUCGUCCUUACCGUUCCUGCGGGAGGACCUUCACCUACUUUUUAUCCAGCACGAGAUUGGAUAUGGAUUCUUAGUCCUUGAACAAAGGAUCGAAUAGUCGCAGUGUUUUUUCAAACCCAGUGAGCGAACUUGUUUACCAGUGACUUAGGAGUGGUCCAUGAUAAGUACCAACGAAAUCGCAGCAAAGACAUGGUGCUGAAAUUAUGGACACGCGCUGAAGCCGACUGUUACCAGUGAGACGGUAGAAAGCACGGAGUUAUAAUAUAAAAUUUUGUGCGGAGAAAGAUUUUACUUUAGUUUUCUUUUUUAUUUUUCUUUGAGUUCAAUCUCGUUCCUUCGUAGUAUCGAAGACGCUGACGAUGAUGAUGAUGAUUUGACGCCUACAUCAGUAACGAGUGAGCGCUGAUGUGACGGGGUCGAGAAGAGAUCAAAAAGUGUUCAUGCCGCGCGGCUAUCACCUCUAGACUGUCAGGAGGACUGAAUUCGACGUCAUGGAUUCUCAUCAGCUUGUCGAGACCGCGUCUCAGAACAGCCAGGACAUAACGAUUCAGCAAAAACCGGCGAGCAGCACUCCGAGGCACAGCAUCGACGCCAUCCUUGGACUUGCUGGACGAAAAAGGAGCGCGCAGGAUAUGGAGGAGGGAUCGAGGGAGCACGAGACUAACGGAGAGAACAGUUGCAACUCGACGGGGGGCGGAAGCGAUGAGGAAUUGGGAACCGGAUGCGGAUCUGACGACCUAACCGGAAGCAGUGGUAAGAAGAAGCACCGUCGCAACAGAACUACCUUCACAACCUACCAGCUACACGAGCUCGAAAGAGCUUUUGAGAAGUCCCACUACCCGGACGUCUACUCUAGGGAGGACCUGGCGAUGAAGGUCAAUCUGCCAGAGGUCCGGGUCCAGGUCUGGUUUCAAAAUCGUCGAGCCAAAUGGCGACGGCAGGAGAAAAUGGAAGCCGCUAGACUCGGCCUCACUGAAUAUCAUCACGCCGCUGCCACCAUGAGAAACGUCGCCGGUUCCGGACUCGGCCUUCCGGGUGAUCCGUGGCUACCAAAUUCCCCGUGUAUCUUACCGGCGCUUCCCGGCUUCCUGGCGGCGCCUCACGCCGGUUACUCCAGCUAUUUAACAUCCCCCAGACGCCUGCCGUCACCCCCGGAAACGGGCAGCAUACUAAACACAUUCCGAGGUCUAUCCUCGAUGAGUGAGCUUAGCUUGCGCGCCUGUCAGUACAACUCCUUGUUGGCCGCCGAGUUACAGGACAGCGGCGGACGUUAAAUGGAGGCCUGGGAGCCACGUGAGAGAUCGACCUAGACGACGAGACCAACACAGAAUGUCAACAAUUAAACAUUUAGAAAAAAUCCCGGACGAACAAUCCGACACAUGAGACCGCCGAACGGUGGCCUCUCGUCACUGGGAGGCGGUGGAGGCAGCGAUGGCGGGUCUUCGUCGUCGGUCGGAGGAGGUGGAAACGGAAGAGGAAGCGGCGAGCAGCCGGG